GNANGGUGCAAGCGUUAUCCGGACUUACUGGGUGUAAAGGGAGCGUAGACGGUNGUGUAAGNCNGAUGUGAAAGCCCGGGGCUCAACCCCGGGACUGCAUNGGAAACUANGUAACUAGAGUGUCGGAGAGGUAAGCGGAAUNCCUAGUGUAGCGGUGAAAUGCGUAGAUAUUAGGAGGAACACCAGUGGCGAGGGCGGCUUACUGGACGAUCACUGACGUUGAGGCUCGAAAGCGUGGGGAGCAAACAGGAUUAGAUACCCUGGUAGUCCACGCCGUAAACGAUGACUACUAGGUGUCGGGGAGCAAAGCUCUUCGGUGCCGCAGCAAACGCAAUAAGUAGUCCACCUGGGGAGU
RNAcentral lists this ribosomal RNA (355 nucleotides) under uncultured bacterium. RNAcentral describes it as "partial 16S ribosomal RNA". It matches the Rfam family "Bacterial small subunit ribosomal RNA", at positions 527 to 881 of the family's 1533-position model. The record is from RNAcentral.